AAACCAUGGUGUGGGCAGUCUCGCUGGUAGGCUUUGAAUCUCAACCAAGAAGCAUUAAAAGCUUCUGUAGUGCCUUGAGAAAAAUUAUAGAUCUUAUUCCUAAAACU
Molecule: non-coding RNA, 107 nt
Organism: Brassica napus (rape)
Lineage: Eukaryota; Viridiplantae; Streptophyta; Magnoliopsida; Brassicales; Brassicaceae
Source: Rfam